RNAcentral lists this small RNA (20 nucleotides) under Vibrio cholerae O1 biovar El Tor str. N16961. Lineage: Bacteria; Pseudomonadati; Pseudomonadota; Gammaproteobacteria; Vibrionales; Vibrionaceae. The record is from RNAcentral.
GUGCUUAGCUAUGUUGUCAG